RNAcentral lists this ribosomal RNA (254 nucleotides) under uncultured bacterium. RNAcentral's name for it is "partial 16S ribosomal RNA". It matches the Rfam family "Bacterial small subunit ribosomal RNA", at positions 524 to 776 of the family's 1533-position model. The record is from RNAcentral.
UACAGAGGUCUCAAGCGUUGUUCGGAUUCAUUGGGCGUAAAGGGCGCGUAGGCGGCCAGCACAAGUCAGUUGUGAAAUCUCCGAGCUUAACUCGGAAAGGUCAACUGAUACUGUGCGGCUAGAGUGCAGAAGGGGCAACUGGAAUUCUUGGUGUAGCGGUGAAAUGCGUAGAUAUCAAGAGGAACACCUGCGGCGAAGGCGGGUUGCUGGGCUGACACUGACGCUGAGGCGCGAAAGCUAGGGGAGCGAACGGG